This 469-nucleotide ribosomal RNA is filed under the name uncultured bacterium. Its description in RNAcentral is "partial 16S ribosomal RNA". It matches the Rfam family "Bacterial small subunit ribosomal RNA", at positions 28 to 507 of the family's 1533-position model. The record is from RNAcentral.
GACGAACGCUGGCGGCGUGCUUAACACAUGCAAGUCGAACGGAAAGGCCCUGCUUGCAGGGUGCUCGAGUGGCGAACGGGUGAGUAACACGUGGGUGAUCUGCCCCUUACUUUGGGAUAAGCCUGGGAAACUGGGUCUAAUACUGGAUAGGACCAUGCUGUAGGUGGUGUGGUGGAAAGAUUAGUUUCGGUAAGGGAUGAGCUCGCGGCCUAUCAGCUUGUUGGUGGGGUAAUGGCCUGCCAAGGCGUCGACGGGUAGCCGGCCUGAGAGGGUGGACGGCCACAUUGGGACUGAGAUACGGCCCAGACUCCUACGGGAGGCAGCAGUGGGGAAUAUUGCACAAUGGGCGCAAGCCUGAUGCAGCGACGCCGCGUGGGGGAUGACGGCCUUCGGGUUGUAAACUCCUUUCAGCCAUGACGAAGCCCUUGUGGUGACGGUAGUGGUAGAAGAAGCACCGGCUAACUACGUG